ACUAAGUGGUAAACGAUGUGAGAUUGCGAAGACAGCCAGGAGGUUGGCUUAGAAGCAGCCACCCUUGAAAGAGUGCGUAACAGCUCACUGGUCGAGUGGUCUUGCGCGGACAAUGUAACGGGGCUCAAGUCUGGAGCCGAAGCCACGGGUGCGUCCUAGUGACGCGCGGUAGCGGAGCGUCGAUCUCGCAGAGAAGCGCAGGGUAACCGGUCGUGGAGCGUGGUCGAGUGAGAAUGUUGGCAUGAGUAGCGAAAGAGGGGUGAGAAACCCCUCCGCCGGAUGUCCAAGGGUUCCUGGGGAAGGCUAAUCCACCCAGGGUGAGUCGGGAGCUAAGGCGAGGCCGAGAGGCGUAGUCGAUGCACAACCGGUUGAUAUUCCGGUACCACCACAUGCGCGCCAAUUCCAAUCACAGGUUGCUAA
This 420-nucleotide ribosomal RNA is filed under the name uncultured bacterium. RNAcentral describes it as "bacterial LSU rRNA". It matches the Rfam family "Bacterial large subunit ribosomal RNA", at positions 1058 to 1485 of the family's 2925-position model. The record is from RNAcentral.